GUCCCGGUAGUAUAGUCUGGUCAGUAUAAUGGCCUGUCGAGUCAUUGACCGGGGUUCAAAUCCCCGCCGGGGCGCCA
Molecule: transfer RNA, 77 nt
Filed under: Nanobdellota archaeon
Lineage: Archaea; Nanobdellati; Nanobdellota
Description: tRNA-Asp
Rfam family: tRNA
About the family: Transfer RNA (tRNA) molecules are approximately 80 nucleotides in length. Their secondary structure includes four short double-helical elements and three loops (D, anti-codon, and T loops).
Source: RNAcentral